This 344-nucleotide ribosomal RNA is filed under the name uncultured eukaryote. Its description in RNAcentral is "SSU rRNA". It matches the Rfam family "Eukaryotic small subunit ribosomal RNA", at positions 567 to 924 of the family's 1831-position model. The record is from RNAcentral.
CCAGCAGCCGCGGUAAUUCCAGCUCCAAUAGCGUAUAUUAAAGUUGUUGCAGUUAAAAAGCUCGUAGUUGGACUUGUGUGCGGCCCAGAUGUCCUUUUAGGUACGUUCUGGGCUGUGCAUCCUUGGGUGGAACCUGUGUGGCAUUAGGUUGUCGUGCAGGGGAUGCUCAUCGUUUACUGUGAAAAAAUUAGAGUGUUCAAAGCAGGCUUACGCCGUUGAAUAUAUUAGCAUGGAAUAAUAAGAUAGGACCUUGGUACUAUUUUGUUGGUUUGCGCACCGAGGUAAUGAUUAACAGGGACAGUUGGGGGUAUUCGUAUUCCAUUGUCAGAGGUGAAAUUCUUGGA